Colletes gigas is the source of this 83-nucleotide non-coding RNA. NCBI's taxonomy places the organism in Eukaryota, Metazoa, Arthropoda, Insecta, Hymenoptera, Colletidae. The record is from the annotation of a RefSeq genome assembly.
GCUGCGGUGUCCGAGCGGUUAAGGAGAUGGACUUGAAAUCCAUUGGGUUUCUACCCGCACAGGUUCGAAUCCUGUCCGCAGCG